RNAcentral lists this transfer RNA (72 nucleotides) under Bos taurus (domestic cattle). It matches the Rfam family "tRNA". Rfam says of the family: Transfer RNA (tRNA) molecules are approximately 80 nucleotides in length. Their secondary structure includes four short double-helical elements and three loops (D, anti-codon, and T loops). Lineage: Eukaryota; Metazoa; Chordata; Mammalia; Artiodactyla; Bovidae. The record is from Rfam by way of RNAcentral. RNAcentral also lists the same sequence under 2 other names.
UUCCUGCUGGCUCAGUUGGUAAAGAAUCUGCCUGCCGUGCAGGAGACCCAGGUUUGAUUCCUGGGUAGGGAA